RNAcentral lists this ribosomal RNA (305 nucleotides) under uncultured Pseudomonas sp. Its description in RNAcentral is "bacterial SSU rRNA". It matches the Rfam family "Bacterial small subunit ribosomal RNA", at positions 1077 to 1382 of the family's 1533-position model. Lineage: Bacteria; Pseudomonadati; Pseudomonadota; Gammaproteobacteria; Pseudomonadales; Pseudomonadaceae. The record is from RNAcentral.
GGGUUAAGUCCCGUAACGAGCGCAACCUUGUCCUUAGUUACCAGCACGUUAUGGUGGGCACUCUAAGGAGACUGCCGGUGACAAACCGGAGGAAGGUGGGGAUGACGUCAAGUCAUCAUGGCCCUUACGGCCUGGGCUACACACGUGCUACAAUGGUCGGUACAAAGGGUUGCCAAGCCGCGAGGUGGAGCUAAUCCCAUAAAACCGAUCGUAGUCCGGAUCGCAGUCUGCAACUCGACUGCGUGAAGUCGGAAUCGCUAGUAAUCGUGAAUCAGAAUGUCACGGUGAAUACGUUCCCGGGCCUU